Molecule: ribosomal RNA, 1241 nt
Filed under: metagenome
Description: bacterial LSU rRNA
Rfam family: Bacterial large subunit ribosomal RNA
Source: RNAcentral
UGAAUACAGAUGCUACGGCGUCGAAGCAGUCUAUGUCAUACUUCCAAGAAAAGCUUGCACUGUCAUAAACAAAUAAUGCCUGUACCAUAACCGACACAGGUGGGUAGGUAGAGUAUACUAAGGGGCGCGAGAUAACUCUCUCUAAGGAACUCGGCAAAAUGACUCCGUAACUUCGGGAGAAGGAGUGCCUUAUUUAUAAGGUUGCAAUAACAAGAUCCAAGCAACUGUUUACCAAAAACACAGGUCUCCGCUAAGUCGUAAGACGAUGUAUGGGGGCUGACGCCUGCCCAGUGCCAGAAGGUUAAAGAAGUUGGUUAGCAUCCGCGAAGCUGAUAACUGAAGCCCUAGUGAACGGCGGCCGUAACUAUAACGGUCCUAAGGUAGCGAAAUUCCUUGUCGGGUAAGUUCCGACCCGCACGAAAGGCGUAAUGAUUUGGAUACUGUCUCGGAGAGGGGCUCGGUGAAAUAGACUUGUCUGUGAAGAUGCGGACUACCUGCACCAGGACAGAAAGACCCUAUGAAGCUUUACUGUAACCUGAAAUUGAAAUUGGACUUUACUUGCGCAGUAUAGGUGGGAGGCGUUGAGAAUAUUCUUGCGGGAUUAUUGGAGCCAUCAGUGAGAUACCACUCUUGUAAUGUUAGAUUUCUAACUUUGUAUCAUUAUCUGGUCAAAGAACAGUUUCAGGCGGGCAGUUUGACUGGGGCGGUCGCCUCCUAAACGGUAACGGAGGCGCACAAAGGUUUCCUCUGAACGGGUAGAAAUCGUAUCUAGAGUGUAAAGGCAUAAGGAAGCUUGACUGUGAGACCUACAAGUCGAGCAGGGACGAAAGUCGGUCUUAGUGAUCUGACGGUGCUGAGUGGAAAGGCCGUCACUCAACGGAUAAAAGUUACUCUAAGGAUAACAGGCUGAUCUCCCCCAAGAGUUCACAUCGACGGGGAGGUUUGGCACCUCGAUGUCGGCUCAUCGCAUCCUGGGGCGGUAGUACGUCCCAAGGGUUGGGCUGUUCGCCCAUGAAAGCGGUACGCGAGCUGGGUUCAGAACGUCGUGAGACAGUUCGGUCCAUAUCCGGUGUAGGCGUUAGAAUAUUGAGAGGAGCCUUCUUUAGUACGAGAGGACCGAGAAGGACAUACCUCUGGUGUACCAGUUAUCGUGCCAACGGUAAACGCUGGGUAGCUAUGUGUGGAGUGGAUAACCGCUGAAAGCAUCUAAGUGGGAAGCCCACCUCAAGAUAAGUAUUCUC